AGAAGCUAAAGCAUUACUUAGAUAAGCCUCAAAAGCUAACUUGGACAUGUCAUGAACUCUGUCUCAGAGAAUUCCAAAAAUAUUGCCAUCACAUUAAAGAACUUGAAAUAAUAUGUUGUCCUCCAAUUGGAGGAGAUAAUACAAAAGCUCUGAUGAGUAGAAGUAACUUAUUUGAAAAAUUGAAGUCACUACAACCUCACUUGAAACAGAGAUUUGGAAAACUAUUAAAAUUCCUUCCCCAGUUCUUCCACCCUUCUACACUUUUUAUUAUUUCUACAGGCAUCUUCCUCCAUAUCCUGCACUUCUAAAUAAUGCCUGCUUUAUGUCAUCAGAACUUAUCAAUCUUCUCUGCUCCAAUUCCUCUGAACAAGAAGCUUGCAUUGCAAAGUCAUUGAAGCAGCUAAUAACGCACUGUUGAAUCUCAAGGCCUAAUGCUUCUAAAGUAUUUACUGUUGAUAGCAAAAGCCCUGGCUUCGCUGCGCAGCAAAUCUCAAUCCGAGUAGCUUCAUUUACUCUUUCUACGUCAAA
This 528-nucleotide unclassified non-coding RNA is filed under the name Hevea brasiliensis (rubber tree). Lineage: Eukaryota; Viridiplantae; Streptophyta; Magnoliopsida; Malpighiales; Euphorbiaceae. The record is from RNAcentral.